CACGCAGGCGGUCUGUUAAGUCAGAUGUGAAAUCCCCGAUCUCAACUUGGGAACUGCGUUUGAAACUGCAAGACUAGAAUAUGUCAGAGGGGGGUAGAAUUCCACGUGUAGCAGUGAAAUGCGUAGAGAUGUGGAGGAAUACCAAUGGCGAAGGCAGCCCCCUUGGAUAAUAUUGACGCUCAUGCACGAAAGCGUGGGGAGCAAACAGGAUUAGAUACCCGCGUA
Molecule: ribosomal RNA, 225 nt
Filed under: uncultured Methylophilus sp.
Lineage: Bacteria; Pseudomonadati; Pseudomonadota; Betaproteobacteria; Nitrosomonadales; Methylophilaceae
Description: partial 16S ribosomal RNA
Rfam family: Bacterial small subunit ribosomal RNA
Source: RNAcentral